GUAACUUAGUUCCUUUUUCUGGCUCACUGUGUCUUCUUAAGAAGCACUGCACUAAAAGAUUCUACCAUCACAGACUUUGCAUCAGGAAGAUCAAGACCCAUGUGUAAGAACUUCUCACAGCACUAUAAAGAGUUGAGUAUUUUAACUUUUCAAACAAUACGGAAUCUCGACAGCAUACAGGUUAACUCUGUUUCUCUUCAUCACCUCCUUGAAUCUGUCAUCGAUCUUCAGGAUGCAAAUCUGUCACACUUUCAUCAUUGGUCUUUCAUGGAUGGCAUUGGCUUCGGAAGUUUAUGGCUGCACUGAGGAUAUUCCAGAAAAGUGUAUCGAGUUUGGUGGCGCUUGCAGCAGAGAUGCGUGCCAGAACGGGCGCAUGGGUUCAUGUGGGUCAGGUCUCCAUUGCUGCCGUCAGCCAGAAGCAGGAAAGAACGGUGGCUUAUGAAUGGAGGAG
Molecule: non-coding RNA, 451 nt
Organism: Pogona vitticeps (central bearded dragon)
Lineage: Eukaryota; Metazoa; Chordata; Lepidosauria; Squamata; Agamidae
Source: RefSeq, a predicted model, not a curated record